This 89-nucleotide signal recognition particle RNA is filed under the name Deltaproteobacteria bacterium. RNAcentral's name for it is "signal recognition particle sRNA small type". It matches the Rfam family "Bacterial small signal recognition particle RNA". Rfam says of the family: The signal recognition particle (SRP) is a universally conserved ribonucleoprotein involved in the co-translational targeting of proteins to membranes. The record is from RNAcentral. Lineage: Bacteria; Pseudomonadati; Myxococcota; Myxococcia.
GCCUGCCCCGGUAACAGCGGCCUGAGAACCCCGCCAGGCCCGGAAGGGAGCAACGGUAUCGGUGAUCGCUGUGUACCGGGGUAUUUCAG